UAUAGCCUCGGGUGAAUGCUAGUGCGUGUCAGACAUAACUCUUAAUAGAUAAAAAGAAAUAACAAACUCCUACGUAGAUUCUAUCUCUAACAUACGAGUCUCGAUUGGACUUUAACUUCCUUAGAGAUAAAAUAAAAAUCCUAACUAACUCUAAUUAAUAGAUAAAUUUGCGUCAUCAAGCCCUGAAUCUUCACGAUUCCUUCUCGAAUUCAGCUUCUUGUGGAUAAGAUUUUCUAUCGACGAUUGCAUCUUUCCUUAUCUAAAUCCAAUAUGGAAAUUUAUCAAAUUUUGGUGUUAACACGUGCAUCUUCACAAAAUAUUAUUGUCACCCUUGCGAUAGCUCUUCUUUGGUUAGUCACAAUUGGAUCGUUUAGUAAGAAAUUAUUAUCGGAGUUCACAUUGCUGAAAUAGGAAUUCAAGAAAGAUUGAGGCCCCAGGUAACUUCAUCCUUGUAAAAUUACAUAAUGUAAGUCAUUACUCAAUAUUAAAUAAAUUUCAUUGUUCUAAAGUAUGUCAUCCAUAUUUGUUAUAUGACAUCAUUAACUUUUAUGUUUAUGUUUAACUAUUCGUAUUAUUCAAAAAAUAUAGUUAUUAAUUAUUUUUUUAUAAUUUGAUUUAUUAUUAUGAGAACUUGAAGUAUGACUUAUAAUUUUGCAUAUUUAGAUAUAUAAUUUUGCA
This 678-nucleotide long non-coding RNA is filed under the name Oryza brachyantha (malo sina). Its description in RNAcentral is "long non-coding RNA (OBRA_LNC003259)". The record is from RNAcentral. Lineage: Eukaryota; Viridiplantae; Streptophyta; Magnoliopsida; Poales; Poaceae.